GAUGAACGCUGACAGAAUGCUUAACACAUGCAAGUCAUUGGCGAAGCUGCGCUUGCGCAGUCUAGCCAAGGCGGACAGGUGAGUAACGCGUAAGGAACUUGCCCUGCAGACAGGGAUAACAGACGGAAACGACUGAUAACACCUGGUAUUGUCAGGCUGGCGCAUGCCGGCCUGAUGAAAGGAGACGCUGCAGGAGAGCCUUGCGUCCUAUUAGCUAGUUGGUGGGGUAACGGCCCACCAAGGCGAUGAUAGGUAGCCGGCCUGAGAGGGUGAACGGCCACAAGGGGACUGAGAUACGGCCCUUACUCCUACGGGAGGCAGCAGUGGGGAAUAUUGGACAAUGGGGGCAACCCUGAUCCAGCAAUUCUGUGUGCACGAAGAAGGUUUUCGGAUUGUAAAGUGCUUUCAGCAGGGAAGAAGAAAGUGACGGUACCUGCAGAAGAAGCGACGGCUAAAUACGUG
This 462-nucleotide ribosomal RNA is filed under the name uncultured bacterium. RNAcentral describes it as "partial 16S ribosomal RNA". It matches the Rfam family "Bacterial small subunit ribosomal RNA", at positions 28 to 507 of the family's 1533-position model. The record is from RNAcentral.